UUAUCAGAUUACGAUGUUCAUACGUUCAUUACACUAUGUUUGCAGGGCCGAGGCCCAGUGUGCACAGGUGUGAAUCGUAAGGCCCCAGGGGGCAUUCACUAAUGAUCCUUCCGCAGGUUCACCUACGGAAA
This 131-nucleotide unclassified non-coding RNA is filed under the name uncultured fungus. RNAcentral describes it as "sequence contains ITS1". The record is from RNAcentral. Lineage: Eukaryota; Fungi.